RNAcentral lists this ribosomal RNA (430 nucleotides) under Acidobacteriota bacterium. RNAcentral describes it as "Acidobacteria bacterium partial 16S ribosomal RNA". It matches the Rfam family "Bacterial small subunit ribosomal RNA", at positions 355 to 776 of the family's 1533-position model. Lineage: Bacteria; Pseudomonadati; Acidobacteriota. The record is from RNAcentral.
UGGGGAAUAUUGGACAAUGGGCGCAAGCCUGAUCCAGCCAUGCCGCGUGUGUGAAGAAGGCCUUUUGGUUGUAAAGCACUUUAAGCGAGGAGGAGGCUACUUGGAUUAAUACUCUAGGAUAGUGGACGUUACUCGCAGAAUAAGCACCGGCUAACUCUGUGCCAGCAGCCGCGGUAAUACAGAGGGUGCGAGCGUUAAUCGGAUUUACUGGGCGUAAAGCGUGCGUAGGCGGCUUCUUAAGUCGGAUGUGAAAUCCCUGAGCAUAACUUAGGAAUUGCAUUCGAUACUGGGAAGCUAGAGUAUGGGAGAGGAUGGUAGAAUUCCGGGUGUAGAGGUGAAAUGCGUAGAGAUCUGGAGGAAUAACGAUGGCGAAGGCAGCCAUCUGGCCUAAUACUGGCGCUGAGGUACGAAAGCGUGGGGAGCAAACAGG